CACUAACGAAGCCAGUGUCUUUCCCAGCUGUGUCAAUCUAAAACCCAGAUGGGUGAGCCCAGUCUUCAACAAGCCAUAGGAGUGGCAUGGAGGAAAAUGAUGUGGCAAUCAUGGAAGAGUUGAUACUCUACAGAGUUUGAGAAUCUUCAAAUCUGCAGAUCCUGCUGUGAUAAUCAUUCUGUCCAUAGGAUGCUGUCUUUGUUUCUGCAAUUAAAUACUCUUGCA
This 225-nucleotide long non-coding RNA is filed under the name Rattus norvegicus (Norway rat). Its description in RNAcentral is "long non-coding RNA NONRATT033722". The record is from RNAcentral. Lineage: Eukaryota; Metazoa; Chordata; Mammalia; Rodentia; Muridae.